Molecule: non-coding RNA, 1052 nt
Organism: Cinara cedri
Lineage: Eukaryota; Metazoa; Arthropoda; Insecta; Hemiptera; Aphididae
Source: the annotation of a GenBank genome assembly
GCAUUUCGGUUAUUUGUAUAUAGCGAUUAAAUGCUGUAUAAAUAUAUAUACCAUAAAACAUGCAUUUUUCGGUUUUUUUUAUUGAAAUAUACAAUGAUAUGCAUUUUAUUCAGGGUAUGCAAAAAAAAAAAAAAAAACAACACUGCCAUUUACCUCAACAUGAGACAAUUCAUGGACACAAUUCACAAAAACAGUAAUCAAAAGAUACAAAACAACAUACCAAUGUAAUUAAAUCCUAGCCCUAGUUAUCACAUAAAGUAAAUUUAGUUUAACCUAAAAUAAUGGUAAUAAUACUUUCCCACAUCUACAAUCGUUUAUUGAACUAACAAGACGUAUUUUCAAAUAAAUUUACAAUAAUUGUUCAAACAAUACGCUCGCUGUGGAGGAUGUGGACCAAUCUCUCACUACAUCCCCGUACAUAAUCUUAUAACUAAAAUAAAAUAAAAUAGUCACAUUACGUUAAUUGCCACGGUAUUGUGACACGAUUCUUCGAACCCGAGGGUCUGGAUCCCCGUUCAAGUCAGUUGCGAGCCGGCCGGCACUCGCCUCGGUCUCUCUGUUUCUCUCAUCCGGUUCCGGAUGAUGGAGUUUAUGUACUCUACCGUGACGCAGAAGGAUCAUGCGCAGAGGGUGAAAGCAGCUGAGAGUUGAUGCCUGUCGCUGUCUGAGUUCCGGGAUGGGAUGACCGUUGGACCAAAAGACAGUUUCCGGACGUCGCGUUAAAAUACUAAAGUUAUCUAAGUUGUAUUUGAUCUGUCAACUAUCUUUGUAAGGCAAGCCUAUUAAAUUUAGCAUUGCUUUGUGAAAAAUAAAAUAACGAAUACUUGAAUACGAGUAUUAUCUUAGCACUUUUUCAACCAUAUUAAAUGAAUAACUAAUUAAAAUAGUUUUGAUUAUUUAUUCUUUUUUUUUUUUUUUUGAUUAAAAAGCAGUAUCAGAUAUAUUUUACGUUUAUUUUUUUAGCACAUCUGUUCAUUCUAAAUUAAUUUUCAUAAUUUUAAAAGUUUUAAACUAUAUAAGAGAAACAAAACAGAAACUCAGUAAUUUAUGAC